UCGCCGGGUGACCGUGCGCGCCGCGGAGGAGGCUGUGGAGGCCGCUCCUGAGGCGUUCGAGGAGUCCAUGGAGUCGGGUCCUCGUGGCCGUCGCAGCUCUGUGGAGAAGGGCAUGGAGCUGAAGCACUUCCUGCCUCUGCCCAAGCCGGCCCACCUUGUGUUCAUUAAGCCCACCGUGGCCGUCGUCGCGGGCACUGCUAGCCGCAGCUCCGUGGGCGUUAAGAUGUCCGCUGGCGACCAGCAACUGGAGCGCUACGUGGUCGAGUACUUCGCUCGCAGCGUCAAGUAAAUGGUGGAAUUUUCAUGUGGGUAGCCAAGAUACGCCCUGGAGCGUGGCC
This 338-nucleotide long non-coding RNA is filed under the name Chlamydomonas reinhardtii. RNAcentral describes it as "long non-coding RNA (CREI_LNC000111)". Lineage: Eukaryota; Viridiplantae; Chlorophyta; Chlorophyceae; Chlamydomonadales; Chlamydomonadaceae. The record is from RNAcentral.